AGGGCAGUAAAUAAUAAUGCAGGAGGCAGGUUUUGGUUGUAAAUCAAUACCUGAAUUAGAGGUGUGCUCACUUCUAUUAUCUUCAUCAUCAUUACGUUGGUAAUCUUCACUGGGAGCAAAAUAACAAAAAAUAACAUCUGCCAAUCCAUGAAUGAUUGGGAGGUAUGUACAUAUGGACACCUACUUAAAUCUUUCCUUGGAGUGGUCGUGAAAAUCCCAUCAAAUCUUUCCUGGAAAAAUGUUGGAAUUUGCAUAAAAUUAAUCACCAAAUGACGCAACCCCAUAGCCGUAAACAUCAUGUAUGUCCUCCGAAGACAAAAGUUGGAUGGGACGGAUGGAGCCGACACAUUUAUAUAGGGUUUCUAUUAUAUAAUUGCAUUAGGUGAUCCGUUUUAAUUAUUCGGAACUAUUAGCACUUACCAAAUUGACGUAAAUAUUCUUGUAAACAAUGUUUGAACUGUAUUUAUUCAAAACCAUGUUGGCAGUCGAUGCAUUUUUUAAUUUUGUCGAACUGUACUGUUUGAUUUAAUUAUAAAUAUUAUCAUAAACUGAAAUUAAUUCAUUAAAUUAAAAUAACACUGAAUACAUACUUCUGGAUACGAAAUUCUCAGACGAUCCAUGUCAUCUUUCUCUAUGAAUAGAUAUUUAAAUGCAUACAUAGUUAAGUUCUGUGGUCGAUCAUUGAAUAUCUAAAUAUUUACCAAUCUCCUUUGGAUCAAAUCGUUCCGUUUUUGUCAAUAAAAUUGUGAGUUCCAAA
This is a long non-coding RNA of Folsomia candida, 757 nucleotides long. RefSeq lists it as uncharacterized. Lineage: Eukaryota; Metazoa; Arthropoda; Collembola; Entomobryomorpha; Isotomidae. The transcript has 3 exons. The record is from RefSeq and is a predicted model, not a curated record.